Molecule: ribosomal RNA, 403 nt
Filed under: Verrucomicrobiota bacterium
Lineage: Bacteria; Pseudomonadati; Verrucomicrobiota
Description: Verrucomicrobia bacterium partial 16S ribosomal RNA
Rfam family: Bacterial small subunit ribosomal RNA
Source: RNAcentral
UGGGGAAUAUUGCACAAUGGGGGAAACCCUGAUGCAGCGACGCCGCGUGAGCGAAGAAGGCCUUCGGGUCGUAAAGCUCUUUUAUGAGGGAAGAUAAUGACGGUACCUCAAGAAAAAGCCCCGGCUAACUACGUGCCAGCAGCCGCGGUAAUACGUAUGGGGCGAGCGUUGUCCGGAAUUAUUGGGCGUAAAGGGUACGUAGGCGGUCUAUUAAGUCAGGUGUGAAAGCGUGAGGCUUAACCUCAUUAAGCACUUGAAACUGAUAGACUUGAGUGAAGGAGAGGAAAGUGGAAUUCCUAGUGUAGCGGUGAAAUGCGUAGAUAUUAGGAGGAAUACCGGUGGCGAAGGCGACUUUCUGGACUUUUACUGACGCUCAGGUACGAAAGCGUGGGGAGCAAACAGG